AAUAAUAAUAAUAAUAAUAAUAGACAUAAUAAAUUUUCAAUCUAGUGUGCUCUCCUGAAGUUUCCCAUCACUGAGGACACCAUUAACAAAUGUAUGUGGAAACAUUAAAUGCUAUCGAGUACAAGGCAUUUCAAGGUUAGGUCUUCCAUCGAGUACUUCUUGUGUCGAUUCAUCUGGAAAUGCAUCUGGGUAGGUAGCCAAAAUUUUAGCCUUCAUGCUCCUACAAAGAAAAGCAAAAGAAGAAGGAUCAUCCUCCAAAUGACAACAAAUUCAAGUCUCAAAAGAUAAGAGUUAAAUAGGACUACAACUAAACUACACACAUAAGAACAUCUUGAUAGAAGAAGUGCGAGAACUUGAGUCUCCACUCUCUACUUCCCAUAAAUCUUCUCCUUGCCACAUCAUGGAGUUUUACAGAUUUCUAUCCUAGGUAGGCCAAAACAGUUUUAGUUACCUAGAAGAAAGGUUUCUAGCGUGCCUUGUCAGUCCAGAUACACCACAGAACAGAACAAGAGAUACUGAGAAAACUUUGAAAUUACAUUCUUCAAUCUCAUAUUUACUGGGGUCUCCAAACAAUACACAGAAUACAUCACUGAUCACUCGAAUGUGCAAUCCAAAUGAUGUUAUUUUCAUCAAUGGACUCACUUUAUUCAGCAAUUCUGAGAUUCUUAAAUUAGUUUUCAGAUAAUUCUAACUAACUAAUGCUGCAACAGAACAAUAAUUUAGAAUAUUAUUUACAUCCAAUCUGUCUCUCUCUGUUUCUAUUGUGUGAGCACCUAGCUUCUUCUUUUUUUUCCCACCUCUAUCUUCCUUCAAUUCUGCUGUCGCUGCAGCUCCGCAAUUGCACAUCAAGGUUGCCACCAACUUUCCAUUUUCAAUACUCAUUCAAACCCACUGCAUAAAUCUCUAACCUUGGCUAUUAAAAUUAGACCCUUUCAAACUGCCAAUUAAAUGCAUAACCUAGUUGUUGCUAGAAAUUCCCAAUAGCCAGACAAGAAUGUUUGCAGAGUAAGCCAAGUAAUAAUACAUUCAAGACAACAACAAUUACAAUAAUAAUUGACCAGAAGCAAGAGCAGAACCCAAAAUACCUUAACUUCUGAAAUAUGUAGUCGAGGUCAGACUUCAUAGACCUCAAGAGACGAGUAUUUCUUGAAAAAUCACUCGAAACCUCAGCGAAGCAGUGCUCAGAGUACUGGUUAAAAUGAGACAAGACAGCGUUACUAUCCUGCAACCUUCCCAAUAUGAGGUGCUGCAAUUGCUUGAGGGAAUCCAAAUCUUCCUCAUUGAUUAGGGUUUUGAACUCUGCUGAUACAUCUUUUGAAGCCUCUCUCAUCGCCUCUUUCUCCGAUUGCUCCAUCGCGACUCUGUACACAAACACCGAUACAAUACUACAGGACGGGAAGAAGGAGAUCAAGAAUG
This 1416-nucleotide unclassified non-coding RNA is filed under the name Hevea brasiliensis (rubber tree). Lineage: Eukaryota; Viridiplantae; Streptophyta; Magnoliopsida; Malpighiales; Euphorbiaceae. The record is from RNAcentral.